UACAGAGGUGCCGAGCGUUAGGCGGAAUCACUGGGCUUAAAGCGUGUGUAGGCGGAUGCCUAAGUACCUUGUGAAAUCCCACGGCUUAACCGUGGAACUGCUCGGUAUACUGGGUGUCUUGAGCCACUUAGGGGCUACCGGAACAAAUGGUGGAGCGGUGAAAUGCGUAGAUAUCAUUUGGAACGCCAAUGGUGAAAACAGGUAGCUGGGAGUGUGCUGACGCUGAGACACGAAAGCCAGGGGAGCGAACGGGAUUAGAACUAC
This 264-nucleotide ribosomal RNA is filed under the name uncultured bacterium. RNAcentral's name for it is "partial 16S ribosomal RNA". It matches the Rfam family "Bacterial small subunit ribosomal RNA", at positions 524 to 785 of the family's 1533-position model. The record is from RNAcentral.